RNAcentral lists this long non-coding RNA (7168 nucleotides) under Sus scrofa (pig). Its description in RNAcentral is "lncRNA (ENSSSCG00040005540.1)". The record is from RNAcentral. Lineage: Eukaryota; Metazoa; Chordata; Mammalia; Artiodactyla; Suidae.
GGGCAUACCUACUAAAAUACUUUCAUUUAUAGCCCAUGAUUCUGGUUACAAGUACUUAAACAUAUUUACAAAGAAACACACACUCUACUGAUUCUGUGGGGUUUUAUCCAGCUGCUGUGUUUAUUGCUUUAGAAUUCAAUUUUCUUCAAAACAGAAAUUUUUGAAUAUCAUAAUUAGUGGUGAGAACAGCACAAACUAAAUGUAUACUAUCUUGUAUGUAAAAGGAUAAUGUUUAUGAAAUUCUUGUGGUUUGGCUCCUCAGGCCUUUGUAACAUUAUUCAGCUGACUUAGAGCCAAAAUAAAAUAGUUCAUAUAUUCUAGAUAAAGUUUUCUUUUAAGGAUACAGACUUAGUAUUAAUUGCUUAGCAAAUAUUUAUCAUCUUUGUAAAGGUAACAUGCAGCGAAAUAUUGAAAACCUCCAUCAUCAAGUAUUCUGUGAAAACGCUUGUACCCUGUCAUGGUUUGACAAUCCAAUUAAAUUCCUUUAAGUUUGUUUUUUCUUUUCUCUUUUUUAGAAAUUGAAUUACAGUUGAUUUACAAUGCACAGUGAUUCAAUAUAUAUAUAUAUAUAUGUAUACAUAUAUAUGUGUAUAUAUAUUCUUACAUAUGUAUAUUCUUUUUCAGAUUCUUUUCCCUUAUAGGUUAUUACAAAAUAUUGAGUAUAGCUGAGUAUAGUUCCUUGUGCAAUACAGUAGAUCUUUGUUGUAAAUUCCUUUAAAUUUCUUCUUUUUAUUUUGGAAAAUGCCUGUAAGGAUCACAUGGCUAAGUAAAAACAUGAUUUUGUUAAGGGAUUAUGGGAAAGUUUUGUUUGCUAUUUGUGUUAUUUUAACAUAGCGUCUGCAAUAGAGUAAUACAAAUAUUUCUAAUAUAUAUUUAACUGCAUGUUAAACUGAUUACCUAUAUAUGUCCUUAGGUACUGAAAUUUACACUACUCUAGCAAUAACUUAUAAUGCCACUACUCCAGUUUCACAUGACACUGCAAAUGGCAUUUUGUUUCAGAGCCUAGCAGAGCAUGGUGUCACUUGAGGGCUUGGGCGGGGCAUUUUGAGACUCGGUUUGAGGAUUCUUUGUCUGUGUGUCUGUUUAAUGUCCAGCACCUGUUCUUCCUGGAGCCUACCAGCAAAGCCAUUCUCAAGGUUAUGGGUACAUGCACCAGACCAGCCUGUCAUCUGUGAGGUCAAUGCAGCAUUCACCAAAUCUAAGGACCUACCGAGCCAUGUACGACUACAGUGCUCAGGACGAAGAUGAGGUCUCCUUCAGGGACGGCGACUACAUCGUCAACGUGCAGCCCAUCGACGACGGCUGGAUGUACGGCACGGUGCAGAGAACUGGGAAAACCGGGAUGCUGCCAGCGAAUUACAUUGAGUUUGUUAAUUAAUCAUUUCUCCUUGCCCUCCGAGCUUUGUUCUCAUCUAUACUAAGCCUAAUCUUUUUAAAAGAUAGAAGAUACUUUUAAGACACACUUGGCAGUUAUUUUACAAUAAUCUCUCUUUCCUUUGACAAUUAGACACACAGGUACCAGGAAGAAGGAAUGACUUCUAGGCUGAAAACAGCAGCAUUUUUGGUAAUUUGUAUAAACAAAAUAAUUAGGUCUGGAGACCUGGUGCUGCUAAUUGUGUUAAUGGUUUCCUUUGAUUGGCUAUUGAACCCUUCUGGGAAAAUGUAUUUUUCUAGACUUUAAUAGAGAUGUUGAUUGUCCCUUAAAUGUCACAAGUAUAGGAAACUUCUUAGCUGUCACUUUAGAAUCACCAGAAGCCAAUUCUCUUAAUUCAGUAACAAAGCCAAUAAUUUAAAAAACCAUUUAGCUUUUGAGUCAGGAGGCAAUUUUCCAGUUUAAGGGAAACUUGCCUAAAUAUAAUAAAUGUAAGCAGUGGCAGAAUGACAGUUUGGUUAAAAUUAUAUUGACUGGUGGCCUUAGGGAUCUGGAAACUUCUACCAAACAAAGAAAUUUCCUUGUUCCCUGGGCUGACUUGGGUCUAUUUAUUUCUCAUUUGUACCGAGGCGUAUCCUACUCUCCAUUUACAUUCUGUGGACCCAAGUAUAUGCUUGGCUCCAUAGAAUGUCAGGACCAAAUAACUUCACAGCUACUCUGCAAAAGGGCAAAUUUUAAGGUCAUCUAUAUUAUUUCCCUAAUACUAGUAGCCGUGACCCUGUUGCAUGUCACGUAGGUUUCAGCUUCUGUAAUAUAGGCGGCUGCACUGCCCAUUCCUGUUAGUAAAACCAAGAGCGUGGCUGAUAGCGAAAAGUCCUUUCCUCUAGCUGCCAGCUCAUCAGAAAAACAUAACUCGAAAAGUUGCUUGAGAUUCUCCUGCUGCAUUGCACUCUCGUUUUGAAGGAUUUACACCUUAGGAAAUAGAUGUAUACUUUAGCAAAUAAGUGAUUUAGAUGUUUAUUGAACAGCUUUCCUUAACUUAAUGCCGCUGCUGAUUUCAAAGUAAAGCAAAUUCCAUAGGAGCCAGUGACAAAGAGUUGGAAUAGGAAUUGUGCUGGAGGAAAUCAGAGACCACAAAGGACCAGCUCCGUACCGAGAGACAGAUGAUCUGGUUUCUUUUUGUAGAAAAUCGUACUCAGGAUCCUGGAAUGGAAAUCUCGCCCCUGAAACCAGUUAAUGAAAAGACUUCCUUUCCAUUUUCUAAAUCACAUUCAGGGAGUGAGAGGGGAGUGUGACCAGAGAUUUUCGGUACAGGACUUACCAGGCUGUUCAUUAGAAAAGAAAUGGUCACAUUUUGAUUUUUGAAUGAGUGGCUUUGCAGGCUCUUGCUGGAUUCACAGCCAUGACCAUCAUGUCAUGAAGUUUUACCUGGAGUCCACAGGUCACUGGAGAGAUUAACGCCCAUCAGCAACUCUGUGUUUUUCUGAUUGUGCCACUUUGGGGGACUUGCAACAGGGUAGCGUUCAUGUAAGGCCUGACUCUAGCGUGGUGAUGAAACUGAAAAAGCAAAGUUACAAAAAUGCAAUCAACUGUAUGGGUCUUGGGGAUAUCUGCCUUAUAGGAUAUAGUCAAAGAAAUGAACAAAAUAUCCCAUAAAAUAUCUUUGAAUGAAAUGUUUAUUAGGCCAAAGGCAAACAAACGUUAAUUCAUUUACGCCUUGGAAAAGUAAACACAUACUUUGGAAAAUCUGUAAUCUCAUUUUUAUCAGGCUAAAAGAGUAAUUAAAAAGUUUUAUUAUACUCACGCUGCAUCUACAUGACAUGGACAUAAAAUUGAAAGGAGAAAAAUCCAGGCACAUAACUAGAGAUAUUUUUGAGGGGCUUUUACGAUUACCACAUAACCAGCUUGGCUGAUUUUCUAUCAUUGAAAUGACUAGUUGUGAUUCAGUUGAUUAAACUCCACGUCUGUUUUGGUGUCUUAUACACAAACCUACAAAGACAAGCAGAACUUGCAAUAUUCUUGCAGAAAUUUCUGUGCGUUAAAAUUGAGGGCAAUAAGCUUGCUUAUUCAUUUUAUUACACCAUUAAAUAAAUAUUUACGAUUCACCCAGAUAGACCACACUUUCUUUGUGAUUAUAUAAAAGAGUAGUUGAUUAAUUUGCAGACUAAAGGUAGGACAGGUACAUUUUUUGAUAAACAGCACAUUUACAGGAAGCUUAAAGGAAACUGACUUAAAAUGAGGAUUCUAAUUAGGGAGGGAACCAUGAGAUAACAGCUUGACGUUUCAUUGUUUUUCUCAUUUAAACAUCAGAUUCACUGAAUGUACAAGUCAAUACUUAUUUGGAGAAUAGUUCUCCUAAAAUUUGAAACUUCACAUGAUGUUGGCAUAGCAAGAUGUUUCUGCUUCCAGCCUUCAGGAAUUAAGAUCUGAUCAGAAUUUACCUCGAAGGCAGUUAUCUUACAAUAAAGACUGAGCGAGAACAAAUUGUCACAUGUUCCUGAUGCUGUAAUUCAAUAGUAUUGUCACUGUCACUAAAGCCUGUCAGGAUAUUAAGCAUCUCAGUAGAAAUAUGAGAAACGAUAUAUGUAGAAAACCAAAGUGCUAUUUUUGCAGCAUCAUUUUCAAAACUACAUUCUUGAACAGCUUUCCCCCUUUCCACACAUCCCCUCUCACCUCCGAUUUGGCAACAUCCGUCACACUGACAACUCAAGAAGGGUUUAAAACAACAAAUCUUUCAAAAAUCAAGGUAACGCCCAAGCACAGGGCGCAGGCACCUGAUUUUCCGAAUGUGAUGUGUCCUCAAGCCUGACACAAGCACAAAGGCAGCUUGAUAUGCUUCUGAAAGCUUCCAAAAACAACUGUACAUGGAUCAUCUCUCUCUUGAGAAGAGCAUAGCAACAGAAUAUAUUGCUCUUGGUGUAAGGUUUUGUAGUAAACUUUUUACUUAUUCUCGUUCUCUAAGAAAGCUUUCUAUUUCUAACCUGUGGCAAGACGAACUCUUCAUGUCUUCUUGUUCUUGUUGACACAUCCGCAGCGUAGCCCAUGUUGAAAUAUUUGUCUGGUUGUCAGAUCUCUGCGCUGUCCCUGGAUCUUCUCAGGCCUCCCCCACCCCGACCCCAACCCGAGACCACACAGGAAUUUGCAAGCACAAUUCCCAGGAGCCCCUUGUUGGAACACGGAUGCGACUAGAGCAGCCCCUCUCUUGCCACUAGGUUCAUGGUCCGAGGACUGCCAGUUUUGCCAGUCUUGCUUUCGCUGGCCUCUCCGUGUGGAGCUAGACAACACUCUGGGAUCUGGGAAAAGCAGACUUUUCUAAGGCAGACAGUGGAAGUGCAAGAGGCCGCAUCUCUUUUUCAGAUUUGCCCAUCUCCAGUGGAAGGUUUUUAAUGAAAAGAUAAAGAAAAUGUGAGAUCCUUUAGUAACUUCCCCUAUAUAAAGUGGAUAUAGUUUAUACCAAAAUUAUAAUAUAGAGAUAUAAAAAAUAUAGGUGCCUUUUUGAUCACCCUUGUCUCUCCAAUAUGGUCUUGGGAAGAAAACCAAGCACGCAAGCAUCUGCCUACUCUGUAGUACUAUUUUAUUAUGUGAUCAGUAUUUUUAUGGUGGGGACAGAUGAGAUAUUCCUGACAGAUAUGAAAGGUGAUAGCUGAUUAUAUUUUACCUCUAAAGCUUUGGAACUUUAGAAAAUACUGACUUCUUCCAUUUAUUUCUGAAAGGCUCUCUGUGGAUUUAUAUAUUGUUGAGCUGCAUAAACGUUAACCUUAGGUCUGAGAUUUAAAACACCUAUUAUAAGAUAGAAGAAUUAUGUUAUAAGGCUGAAUUCGUGACCCAAGAUGAAGUUCACUUCAAAAAUCCAUUAUACCAUAGCUAUUUGCUUCUGAUCAUCUGAAAAUGGCUAGCGUGGGUUGUUUGGGUGGCAUGGAGGUGAGAAAGCUUUAGUUAAUAAGAAGCUCUGUAAACCAAGUGAAGAAUGCUAACAGGAACGUCUCUUUCCGAAGUAUUCCGUGCCCAUUAGGGUUCUUUCCAGGCAACUGUCAAUUAGUGGUGAUGAAAACCACAAAGGCAAUUGUGUGAUGCUUCUGUGGAAUCCACAAGCCUGGAAGGAUCCCUAGGGCACCGUCUCCUCCCUAGUCGUCCGGGUUACUUCAGUAUAGUCACAGGAAUUCCAUGUGCUUUUGUGUUUGAUAUGUGGUAUCCAGUUUGCAUAGUAUAUACUUCUCUGUGAUGCAGCUGCUGUUAAGGAUGAUUUUCUUGAAAGGAAAAGAGAGAACUGCAUCAUGGUCCCAUUCUUCUGUGUCCAUAUGACGAACGGCUGAGCACUUAGAAGCAGCACUGCGUGUAUCACAGGCCAGGGGUGUGGAACUGUUGGUCUUAGACCUGCGGUAAAAAUGCAAAAUUGGAUCAUUGUGAAGACUGGCCUCUCUUUGCUUCAAAAUAUGUAGACUUGUGAUUGAUGAUUCAUUUGCAGGAUUGUUCUAACUAUGAGAGCGUUAAGAAACACAUCAUGGUUUUAAAAUGAAGGGGCUUACAGAACGAUGCAAUGUUAUAAAUAUAAUUUGGCUUUUGUUAUGCAAAUUGUUAACACCAGCUAUUAAAAUAUAUUUUAGUAGAAAUGCUUUAAUUCAUGUUUUUUUCCUCUACACUGUGAAUCUUUAAGCCUUGGUGGACUAGAGCAACAUUGUGCUGCCCAAAGGACUAACCUAUGCAACUAGUUCACAUUUUAGUGGAUGUCACAGUAAUUGUGUAAUGAGACAUUCUUUCCCUCCCGCGAUGGACAGCAGCAUUGAAAUAACACGUUAAGCCUAGCCUCAUGUAUGUAUAGUACAGUUACUCACAAACCCUUCAAGGCUACCAUAACCACUAGCACUAUCCGUCGUAUAAAAGCAGAUCACUGAUUUAUCUAUGAAAAAGACUUGAAUGAUGUCAGAACAAGAACGACAGAUGAAUGCGUCGGCCGUGGCUUCCAUGUGGUCACUGAAAGUUGUUCCCUGUGAUGGAAGCGUGUUCUCAGAUGCACUCUCUCCAGGGUAUUAUUAUUCUGUGUCUUUCUUUCUGUAUUUGUAAAACAUUAUAAUGCUUUAAUUUCCUAUCUCUACACAUUCGGUUUGCUUAAAUAAAUGCAGGAUAUAACAAAAUGGUCCCACUUCUUGGUUCUCACCUUGGUUUCUUGGAGCAUGGGUCCUUGACAAUAACCUGGGUAUGGGUUUAUCCUGACAACUCAGGUGAGAUCGCCUGGGAGGUGUACGCUGGCUUCAAUGCACUUAAAUUGGUAAGUCAUUCAAAAUGAGUCUUCCUCCUCCAAAUAAACUUAGUUUUAAAUGAUAACAGUAUUAUUUUUUUUCAAGCUCCGUCUCUUUCUGAUUUUGUCACAGUACUAGAGUAAUACAUCACUGUCAUUUACUUCUUUCAAGAUUAAAUCCCUCAUAUAUCCUCAAUAGUACAAUUUUAAUUGUCUUGUAUUUGUAAGAUGAAAGAAACAGCUUGCAGCAAAAAAUAGCAACUGCACAAAUUGAAUGCAUGAAACAGGGAGAUGCUCUGAUUUCCCAGCUACGAAUGGCUCGUUUAUCAUAGAGCAUAAUGCUUUUUUUUCCCCUAAUUUUCCCAUAGUUGGAAAAAGUGAGUUAGUCCCUGUUUUUGCCCUAAGAUAAAUCUACUGAGACUAGACUCUUAGCCUUAUUGUAUGAUUUUGUAAAAGUUCUUCUUUGAUGGUGCUUAAACCCUCUUAAUUGUAAACCGAUAAACUCUGCUGAUGACAUAUUUAGCGCACUCACUCAUAGAAUAAACAUUUCGUCCUAGUCU